This 74-nucleotide transfer RNA is filed under the name Penaeus monodon (black tiger shrimp). Its description in RNAcentral is "tRNA-Arg". It matches the Rfam family "tRNA". From Rfam's summary of the family: Transfer RNA (tRNA) molecules are approximately 80 nucleotides in length. Their secondary structure includes four short double-helical elements and three loops (D, anti-codon, and T loops). Further hydrogen bonds mediate the characteristic L-shaped molecular structure. tRNAs have two regions of fundamental functional importance: the anti-codon, which is responsible for specific mRNA codon recognition, and the 3' end, to which the tRNAs corresponding amino acid is attached (by aminoacyl-tRNA synthetases). tRNAs cope with the degeneracy of the genetic code in two manners: having more than one tRNA (with a specific anti-codon) for a particular amino acid; and 'wobble' base-pairing, i.e. permitting non-standard base-pairing at the 3rd anti-codon position. The record is from RNAcentral. Lineage: Eukaryota; Metazoa; Arthropoda; Malacostraca; Decapoda; Penaeidae.
GUCUGCGUGGCCGAGUGGAUAAGGCGCUGGAUUGCGAUGCCGGAGAUCGCAGGUUCGAAUCCUGCCGCGGAUCA